UAGCUCAGUGGUCGAGCUUCGGCUUUGGAAGCCACAGGUCGGUGGUUCGAUUCCACC
This 57-nucleotide transfer RNA is filed under the name Phytophthora infestans (potato late blight agent). It matches the Rfam family "tRNA", at positions 8 to 63 of the family's 71-position model. From Rfam's summary of the family: Transfer RNA (tRNA) molecules are approximately 80 nucleotides in length. Their secondary structure includes four short double-helical elements and three loops (D, anti-codon, and T loops). The record is from Rfam by way of RNAcentral. Lineage: Eukaryota; Oomycota; Peronosporomycetes; Peronosporales; Peronosporaceae. RNAcentral also lists the same sequence under 1 other name.